CGGCGAGUGAAGCGACAAAAGCUCAAAUUUGAAAUCUGGCACCUUCGGUGUCCGAGUUGUAAUUUGAAGAAGGUAACUUUGGAGUUGGCUCUUGUCUAUGUUCCUUGGAACAGGACGUCACAGAGGGUGAGAAUCCCGUGCGAUGAGAUGUCCAACUCUAUGUAAAGUGCUUUCGAAGAGUCGAGUUGUUUGGGAAUGCAGCUCUAAGUGGGUGGUAAAUUCCAUCUAAAGCUAAAUAUUGGCGAGAGACCGAUAGCGAACAAGUACAGUGAUGGAAAGAUGAAAAGAACUUUGAAAAGAGAGUGAAAAAGUACGUGAAAUUGUUGAAAGGGAAGGGUUUGAGAUCAGACUUGGUAUUUUGUAUGUCUUGCUUUCGGGUGGGGCCUCUGCAGUUUACUGGGCCAGCAUCGGUUUGGACGGUAGGAUAAUGACAUUGGAAUGUGGCACUACUUCGGUGGUGUGUUAUAGACUUUGUUGAUACUGCCUGUCUAGACCGAGGACUGCGUCUUUGACUAGGAUGCUGGCAUAAUGAUCCUAAACCGC
Molecule: ribosomal RNA, 543 nt
Filed under: Scheffersomyces shehatae
Lineage: Eukaryota; Fungi; Ascomycota; Pichiomycetes; Serinales; Debaryomycetaceae
Description: eukaryotic LSU rRNA
Rfam family: Eukaryotic large subunit ribosomal RNA
Source: RNAcentral